This 430-nucleotide ribosomal RNA is filed under the name Pseudomonadota bacterium. Its description in RNAcentral is "Proteobacteria bacterium partial 16S ribosomal RNA". It matches the Rfam family "Bacterial small subunit ribosomal RNA", at positions 355 to 776 of the family's 1533-position model. The record is from RNAcentral. Lineage: Bacteria; Pseudomonadati; Pseudomonadota.
UGGGGAAUAUUGGACAAUGGGGGGAACCCUGAUCCAGCCAUGCCGCGUGUGUGAAGAAGGCCUUAUGGUUGUAAAGCACUUUAAGCGAGGAGGAGGGUACUGGUAUUAAUACUACCAGCUACUGGACGUUACUCGCAGAAUAAGCACCGGCUAACUCUGUGCCAGCAGCCGCGGUAAUACAGAGGGUGCGAGCGUUAAUCGGAUUUACUGGGCGUAAAGCGUGCGUAGGCGGCUAAUUGAGUCGGAUGUGAAAUCCCCGAGCUUAACUUGGGAAUUGCAUUCGAUACUGGUUAGCUGGAGGGUGGGAGAGGAUGGUAGAAUUCCAGGUGUAGCGGUGAAAUGCGUCGAGAUCUGGAGGAAUACCGAUGGCGAAGGCAGCCAUCUGGCCUAACACUGACGCUGAGGUACGAAAGCAUGGGGAGCAAACAGG